CCUACGGGUGGCAGCAGUGAGGAAUAUUGGUCAAUGGGAGAGAUCCUGAACCAGCCAAGCCGCGUGAGGGAAGACGGCCCUAUGGGUUGUAAACCUCUUUUGUCGGAGAACAAAACCCGGGACGUGUCCCGGACUGCGUGUAUCCGAAGAAAAAGCAUCGGCUAACUCCGUGCCAGCAGCCGCGGUAAUACGGAGGAUGCGAGCGUUAUCCGGAUUUAUUGGGUUUAAAGGGUGCGUAGGCGGAUUUUUAAGUCAGCGGUAAAAUGUCCGGGCUCAACCCGGGCCGGCCGUUGAAACUGGGGAUCUUGAGUGGGCGAGAAGUAUGCGGAAUGCGUGGUGUAGCGGUGAAAUGCAUAGAUAUCACGCAGAACUCCGAUUGCGAAGGCAGCAUACCGGCGCCCGACUGACGCUGAGGCACGAAAGCGUGGGGAUCGAACAGGAUUAGAUACCCGAGUAGUC
This 459-nucleotide ribosomal RNA is filed under the name uncultured bacterium. RNAcentral's name for it is "partial 16S ribosomal RNA". It matches the Rfam family "Bacterial small subunit ribosomal RNA", at positions 338 to 795 of the family's 1533-position model. The record is from RNAcentral.